GUUGGGUGGUGGAAAGUUUUUCGGUUGGGGAUGGGCUCGCGGCCUAUCAGUUUGUUGGUGGGGUAAUGGCCUACCAAGACGACGACGGGUAGCCGGCCUGAGAGGGCGACCGGCCACACUGGGACUGAGACACGGCCCAGACUCCUACGGGAGGCAGCAGUGGGGAAUAUUGCACAAUGGGGGAAACCCUGAUGCAGCGACGCCGCGUGGGGGAUGACGGCCUUCGGGUUGUAAACCUCUUUCAGUAGGGAAGAAGCCUUUGGGUGACGGUACCUGCAGAAGAAGUACCGGCUAACUACGUGCCAGCAGCCGCGG
This 315-nucleotide ribosomal RNA is filed under the name bacterium. RNAcentral's name for it is "bacterial SSU rRNA". It matches the Rfam family "Bacterial small subunit ribosomal RNA", at positions 195 to 520 of the family's 1533-position model. The record is from RNAcentral.